This is a non-coding RNA of Schistosoma rodhaini, 45 nucleotides long. Lineage: Eukaryota; Metazoa; Platyhelminthes; Trematoda; Strigeidida; Schistosomatidae. The record is from Rfam.
GUCCAGCUGACGAGUCUCAAAUAGGAUGAAAGGCGCAUCUUGGAU